Molecule: ribosomal RNA, 164 nt
Filed under: Aeromonas salmonicida subsp. salmonicida
Lineage: Bacteria; Pseudomonadati; Pseudomonadota; Gammaproteobacteria; Aeromonadales; Aeromonadaceae
Description: partial 23S ribosomal RNA
Rfam family: Bacterial large subunit ribosomal RNA (bases 1-142)
Source: RNAcentral
AAGCGAGCCCUGAGAUGAGUCAUCCCUGACCCCUUGAGGGUCCUAAAGGGGCCGUUGGAGACCACAACGUUGAUAGGUGGGGUGUGUAAGUGCAGUGAUGUGUUGAGCUAACCCAUACUAAUUACCCGUGAGGCUUAACCAUACAACACCCAAGAAGUGUUCUG